Molecule: long non-coding RNA, 1013 nt
Organism: Papaver somniferum (opium poppy)
Lineage: Eukaryota; Viridiplantae; Streptophyta; Magnoliopsida; Ranunculales; Papaveraceae
Exons: 2
Source: RefSeq, a predicted model, not a curated record
CUACUGCCACACCUAAUUUUCUGAUUUUUCCCACUGAGAAAUCCACGUCCAGGAAAAUUCAAGCUCGCACCCAUUUUUUGGAUUAAAAUAUCCCUCACACCCAUAAUUUCUAAAAUUAUGUCUUCAUUCUUCCUCCGUUUUCUUUAAUGGCUUUUUUUUAUCAUGAGAAGAAAGUUCAGUUCUUCUUCAAGCAAGCAGUUGCUGGCUUCUUCUUCAAUUAGAUUCCACCUGAAUUAUGAGGGGAGAUCAAGACUUGGAUUCAGCUAAUGGAAUAGUUAACGACAUCACUGGAAGAAUCAAAUUAAUCGGUUUGCUGAUGUUGAUUUAUGUGAAUUAAUGGAUCGAUUUUGAGAUUGAGACAGAGACUUGAACGCUGGAUUCUCGGUGAUGCUCUACAACAACAAACAAUCGAUCUGGUGUUGUGUUUGAUUGAAGGAAUGAGAACGAAUGGGUACUUGAUUGAACAGAGAAUUAUUAACAGCAGCAACAAUGGAUUUGUGGUGAUGAUUGGACCAAUGCAUAACCUGUUACGGUCUUAGAAUUGGCUGGAAAUGCAUCAAGAGAUAACAAGGAAAAUCGCAGUAAGAUGCUAUUUGAACAACCAGCAGGGGAUCGACUAACUAAGCCGGAAGAAAAAGAAAAUGGUGACACCGGCCUUUAACCUUACCUGAUGUAUCUAAACCAAAACAAAGGUUUCUGUUACUUUAGUUUAGGAAUUCUUUCUCACCUCACCUCGUGACGGUAAUUGGGCAAAUACUACAAAACUCAUGGAUGGCUGCCAAUGUUCAGAACCCUCAAGUCAACAAAUUACGAUUACUCAUAGACUACUUGCUUAUUGGAUUAAGCUCAACAUUUUACUCGUGAUAAGUCUUUCUAUAGUUUCUAUGGAAUGCAGUCAACGAAAUCUUUGUUAUCACAUCUAAUGAAUUCUCUUUUCCAUGCCCUGGUACAUUUUUACGACUCUACACCUUUUGGAAGGAUUAUAACUCUGGUAAGCAUGACAAAAUUUUGAA